CGUAAACAAAGGGAAGCGAAGUGGCGACAUGGAGCAAAUCCCAAAAAUAACGUCCCAGUUCGGAUUGUAGUCUGCAACCCGACUACAUGAAGCCGGAAUCGCUAGUAAUCGCGAAUCAGAAUGCCGCGGUGAAUACGUUCCCGGGUCUUGUACACACCGCCCGUCACACCAUGGGAGUUGGAAAUGCCCGAAGUCAGUGGCCCAACCGGAAGGGGGGAGCUGCCGAAGGCAGGUUCGAUGACUGGGGUGAAGUCGUAACAAGGUAUC
This 267-nucleotide ribosomal RNA is filed under the name uncultured bacterium. RNAcentral describes it as "partial 16S ribosomal RNA". It matches the Rfam family "Bacterial small subunit ribosomal RNA", at positions 1234 to 1500 of the family's 1533-position model. The record is from RNAcentral.